GGAGAGGUGGCAGAGUCCGGUUGAAUGCACUGCAUUCGAAAUGCAGCGUACCUUAGGGUACCGGGGGUUCGAAUCCCUCCCUCUCCG
Molecule: transfer RNA, 87 nt
Filed under: Chloroflexota bacterium
Lineage: Bacteria; Bacillati; Chloroflexota
Also listed under: 1 other name
Description: Chloroflexi bacterium tRNA-Ser
Rfam family: tRNA
About the family: Transfer RNA (tRNA) molecules are approximately 80 nucleotides in length.
Source: RNAcentral